CAGCAUUAGGGAUAGAAGUGGAAAUCCUUUUUAUUUUUUCUUUAAAAUAAAAAGAUUGCAACGUAUAGCCCGACCGCAG
Molecule: small RNA, 79 nt
Filed under: Flavobacterium omnivorum
Lineage: Bacteria; Pseudomonadati; Bacteroidota; Flavobacteriia; Flavobacteriales; Flavobacteriaceae
Description: Flavo-1 RNA
Rfam family: Flavo-1 RNA
Source: RNAcentral